Molecule: transfer RNA, 63 nt
Filed under: Metacrangonyx sp. 4 MDMBR-2012
Lineage: Eukaryota; Metazoa; Arthropoda; Malacostraca; Amphipoda; Metacrangonyctidae
Description: transfer RNA Lysine
Source: RNAcentral
CAUAAGGUGGCUGAAAUAGUGUAAGUUUUUUAAAUUUAUUAUAGUAGAGUAUACUUCUUGUGG